GACAACCCCAACAUGUUCAAGUAUGUGGCAUAGAAAACCGAAGUCGGAGACCUAUGAGUCUUUUGUUGGUUCUACUUCCCACAAGAUCAGUAGGAUUGUUAGGUUCCGACAGAGACUUGAGCCAAUCAGAGAGGCUUGUGAACCCGUACCUGGUUUGUUGCGUCAUACAGCAGGGCAAUCACAAGCAGUUGAAAUACGUGGCGUGGAAAACCUGUAUUGGAGAACUACGAGCCUUAAAUUGGUUUCAAUUCAUCCUAGAUUUGUGGAAUUGUUCACUUUUCGAGAGAUAUAAGCCAAUCGUAGAGGCUUGCGAGCUUGUACCAGGUUUGUUACGUCAUACAGUAGGAGUUUAUAAAUUUGCGUUGCCAUUGUCAUUUGAUAUAUGUAGACACUUGUACUUAUUACCUGCCACUUGCACGACAAGUGGUAGUUAGUGGAGACUAGUGGGAAGGACAUAAAUGAAAGCUAUGA
RNAcentral lists this long non-coding RNA (471 nucleotides) under Physcomitrium patens. RNAcentral's name for it is "long non-coding RNA (PPAT_LNC009502)". Lineage: Eukaryota; Viridiplantae; Streptophyta; Bryopsida; Funariales; Funariaceae. The record is from RNAcentral.